CUACCCCCAAAAAGGAGGGACUGUCCCCCUUUGAAUGUAUUUAUGGAAGGCCUUUCUUACGCACAGACAUUGUUAUAGACCCGGAAGCCUUGGAAUUAACUAAUUAUGUAACUCAGCUCUCAGCUUUUCAACAGGCAUUAACAGAACUCCGGGAGAUGACUCCUGACCCAGCCUCCAAGACAAGCAAGCCUCUAUUUGAGCCAGGAACCGAGCUGUCAAAGUGCCAGGAAUUGAUUCGUGGGUACAUCAUACUCGAGUUAAGAGGUGGCACCCUGACCAAAAUUAAGUGACUUCAUUUUAUGUCUUUACUUUCUAUGCUCUGACUUUGUACCUUUUAGAUGGACCUGAUAACCUAUGUGA
Molecule: long non-coding RNA, 360 nt
Organism: Bubalus bubalis (water buffalo)
Lineage: Eukaryota; Metazoa; Chordata; Mammalia; Artiodactyla; Bovidae
Exons: 2
Source: RefSeq, a predicted model, not a curated record